AUGAGCACUAUUUGGAGUAGAUUCUGUCCAACAAAGAGAAGGCAAAACCAUUCACAGAAUACUUUAGAACUGGAAAGGAUCAAACCUGGAAUUUCUUCAAAUGGAAGUACUUCUUUCAGCAAUAAAGAUUUCAAUCCAUCCAAAACCUUCUCAUCUUUUCCAAUGUUUGCCCAUUUCUGCCUACCGCCUAUAGAGAGUCUGCCUGAUAUAUUGAGGACUUUUUAGUUAAAAAAAAUUUAACCAUAUGUCCUUGAACUUAGAAAUAUUUUAAUAAUUACAUUUCAAUAUAAUGUUUUCUUUAUAAUUUCAUUGCAUUUUAUCUUAUUUAUUUGAAACCAUUAUACUAAGGUUACAAAGAUGUCUUCAGUUGCCAAAAGGGUCCAUGAAAGAGACAAACAAGAAAUAAGUCUCUGUUCUAAGUCUCUUGGCUUUAUCUAGUCAUCAAAUGAAGAUACAGAAUGUCCAGUAGUUAUCCCUUGAUUUCACAACAUAACUAGCUGAUAUCCUUUUCUAGUUCCAUAUAUAUUAGUUAUUUUAUACCUCUUCUCAAUAACUCUCAACUAAUUAUAUUUUUAAACACACUCUUGAACACCAUAUGCUUCUCCACUGUCAUUUGAAUGACUUUUAAAUUCUUUUCAGAGAUUAUAGUAUUACAUGACUCCAAAAGCAUAAAAUAUUACCAGAAGGAUAUUAAUAUUAAAGAUAUGUUUUCCACCUGAGAUUUAGAAGUCAAGGAGUGAAAUCCAGGAUAGGGUUUUCAACCAGUGCAUCAUCAAUAAUCUAUGGAAGGAGAAGUGACUUUCUAGGUCCAACUCAAUUGUAAGAGGAGGAUUCAUUCAUCAAUACUGCAUGUGGAGGUGAACUUUGCAGGAGUAUGAUAUGUCAAAGUUGUGCCAGGUGCAAUCUCCCUAGAGACUGAGAUGAUAGGAGAUAGUGUGCCUAUGAGGCAUUAGAGAGAAAUAUUUGUACUUAUAUUCAGACACACACACAUACACACACUCAGGGAGAAAACCUUCAGAGUCAUUCAACAAAGCAAUACAAACUUUCCUACUGUUGAGUUUUAGGAUCAUUGUCCAUUUGAAAAUAUAUAUUAUUCAAAAAUAUAUGUAUCAAUAAAGCUUCUUUAUGCAUCA
Molecule: long non-coding RNA, 1133 nt
Filed under: Monodelphis domestica (gray short-tailed opossum)
Lineage: Eukaryota; Metazoa; Chordata; Mammalia; Didelphimorphia; Didelphidae
Description: lncRNA (ENSMODG00000046271.1)
Source: RNAcentral